Molecule: ribosomal RNA, 492 nt
Filed under: uncultured bacterium
Lineage: Bacteria
Description: partial 16S ribosomal RNA
Rfam family: Bacterial small subunit ribosomal RNA
Source: RNAcentral
GAUGAACGCUAGCUAUAGGCUUAACACAUGCAAGUCGAGGGGAAACGGCAUUAUGUGCUUGCACAUUUUGGACGUCGACCGGCGCACGGGUGAGUAUCGCGUAUCCAACCUGCCCUUUACUUGGGGAUACCCCGUUGAAAGACGGCCUAAUACCCGAUGUAAUUCAUUGAUGGCAUCAGAUAUGAAUAAAAGAUUUAUCGAUAAAGGAUGGGGAUGCGUCUGAUUAGCUUGUUGGUGAGGUAACGGCUCACCAAGGCGACGAUCAGUAGGGGUUCUGAGAGGAAGGUCCCCCACAUUGGAACUGAGACACGGUCCAAACUCCUACGGGAGGCAGCAGUGAGGAAUAUUGGUCAAUGGGCGCAAGCCUGAACCAGCCAAGUAGCGUGCAGGAAGACGGCCCUAUGGGUGGUAAACUGCUUUUAUACGAGAAUAAUUUGAUGCACGUGUGCGUUAUUGCAUGUAUCGUAUGAAUAAGGACCGGCUAAUUCCGUG